AAAAAUCUCAAACAAAUGGAAAAGUAGUUCAAAUAAAUCCAAGAAAAAUCACAAGUAAACUAGACAUACAAGAGUAGGCUCAUGCAAAAUUUGGGGUCAUUUGGAGGUCAAGAAGCAUGGCAAUAAAAAUCAUGAAGUUAGACAUCAAUGGUGUGACACAAAUUGUCACACCCUAGUUCAAAAAAUCAUAUCUCACAAACCACAAAUGAUAAAUUCACAAACUUUAUACCAAAAUCACCAUGAAGGUGUCUAGUUUAAGCACAAAAAAUUUGAGAGCCAUUGGAUACAUUCUCAUCAUUUCACAAUUGAUUUGGCAAAGUGUACAAAAUUU
This 331-nucleotide long non-coding RNA is filed under the name Lathyrus oleraceus (garden pea). RNAcentral describes it as "Pisum sativum (pea) long non-coding RNA (PSAT_LNC023094)". Lineage: Eukaryota; Viridiplantae; Streptophyta; Magnoliopsida; Fabales; Fabaceae. The record is from RNAcentral.